AAGACAGCAUUAAGGAUCGGGGGAAGGGAACUUUACUGCUGCUGUUGUAAGAAACUGGAGAAAGGCAGACGAGAGGUGUGGGAAAUAGGCGAGGCCAGGACCCAGCAGGACCACCUCAGAGGCGGACUUGGGGACAGUCACCUCCCAGGCGGCAAGUGGAAACCGGAGUCAGAACCUGAGCCAGACUAAUUCCCUCCAGGUUAACAAUCAUGAAGUGUGAAUGAACAAAAAGUUAAACAAACAAAAAGCUAGUUGAAGGCCUGAAGAGUAACCAAAAGCAUAAACUGGAGGGUCGUCUUCCCCUAAAAGAAGAGAACUUCAAGAUGUACAAGUUUGCACCUUUUGCCUGAAGGCAGUCCUCAUUCUUCAGAAGGUUAGGGGUGGCAGAAAGCUGCAUCUUCAGUGGCUUGAGAUGUCAAGGACAGAAAUGGGGUGGGCAGAGCAGAGCAAAAGUUAAGAAAGUUAGGAGAAGAAUUCUGGAAAGAGGGGAACUGAAGAAGGAGCAAAUCUCAACCUCUGAACAGAAAUUUUGUUCAAAUCCCUAGUUGGUUUGUGCAGCAGGGGAGACGCCAGUGGGCCCAUUGAAAGGCAGCAGCCGGAAGCUGAAAACUAAUCAGAGACUUCGGCUGCUAUCCAUUACAGGAUGGUUUGAAGUUUCAGUUCAGGCGAAUGAGCUGCUUGAGGACAAAAGUUAACUAUUCUGAGGAAUGUAGCCAAAUCCGUAGUCUUUAUUAAUGUACCAUCCAUACUGUCCAGCAUGUAAUAAAAAAUCACUAGACAAGCAAAAAAAAAAAAUGACCCCAUACAGAAGUGAAAUAUAAUCAAUGGAAACUGAUUCUGAUUAGGACAUGUUACAAUUAGCAAACAAGUAUUUAAGGCAGCUAUUAUAAAUGCUUAUAAGGAUAUAUAUUCAUAAUUAGUAAUGAGGAAUCUCAGAGAAUUAGGAAUACUAAAGAACCAAGUGGAAAUUUUACAUGUGAAAAAUACUAGUACUAUAAUGAAAGUCCACUGGAUACGUUCAUGAGCAGACUGAAGACAGCAGAAGAGUUAGUGAAUUGCAAAUAAAUUAUACAAAUUAUUCAAUCUAAAACAGAAACAAGACUGAAGAAAAGAGCUUCAGAGACAUACAGGACAACCUCAAGUGAUCUAAUGUAAAUUUGCUGGAGUUCUGAGACAGGAAAGCAAGAAAUAAAUGGAAAAAAUGGCCAAAAUUUCCCCAAGUUUGAUUUUAAAAUAAAUAAAAAAAAUAGAUUUACAGAUCCAAAAGUUCAAUGAACCCCCAGCUAAAUAAGUACAAACAAACCAUACCUAGGCAUAUUUUAGUGACACUGCUGAAAUUCAAAAAUAAGACAGCCAGAGAAAGACAUUAUAUUUAUGAGAAUGAUACAAAUGACAGCUGAUGUCUCAUCAGAAACAAUGGAGGCCAAAAGACAAUAAAUGCCUGCCAAGUGCUGUAAGAAAAAAAGCUAUCAACCCAGAAUUCCCCAUCAGUGAAAUGAUCCUUCAAAGAUUAAAGUGAAAUAAAGUCAUUUUCCAUGAACUCAUUUUCAAAGCGUUUCAAUGAGCCUAAACUUGUCACUGGACUACAGUUCUCAAAGAAAUCAUUCAAGCUGAAAAGGAAAGACCUCAGAUGUCACUCAAAUCUAUAGGAGACAAUGAAGAACAUCAGAAAUGGUCAAUGUUUGGCAAAUAUAAAAGAUACAUUCUUUUUUCUCUUAAUCAUUUAAAUGACGCUUGUUUUAAGUGAAAAUGAUAGCAUCGUACUGUUGCGUUUAUUAUGUAUGUAGCUGUAAUAUAUGUGAAAAACCAAGGAAGAGAGGAGAGGGUGAAUGGAACUAUACUGUUCCAAGGUUCUGUAUUUUAUGAAGCUGUAUCAUAUUAACCCUAAGUGGAUGGUAGUAGGUCAAAGAUGUAUGCUGUAAUACCUAGAAGAACCAUUUUAAAAAUAUGGUGUAUAGUUUAUAAACCAAUAGAAAAAUUAAAACACAAAACUGUACUUGUACCCCCUAAAUCUAUAAAAAUAGGCCAGGCUUGGUGGCUCACAUCUGUAACCCCAGCACUUUGGGAGUCUGAGGAGGGCAAUUCACUUGAGGCCAGGAGUUCAAGACCAACCUGGGCAACAUGGCGAAAUCCCAUCUCUACUAAAAAUACAAAAAAAUUAGCCUGGCAUGGUGGUGCAUGCCUGUAAUCUCAGCUACUUGGGAGGCUGAGUCACAAGAAUCCCUUGAACCCAGGAGGUGGA
Molecule: long non-coding RNA, 2242 nt
Filed under: Homo sapiens (human)
Lineage: Eukaryota; Metazoa; Chordata; Mammalia; Primates; Hominidae
Description: HSALNT0247149
Source: RNAcentral